RNAcentral lists this ribosomal RNA (443 nucleotides) under uncultured bacterium. Its description in RNAcentral is "partial 16S ribosomal RNA". It matches the Rfam family "Bacterial small subunit ribosomal RNA", at positions 338 to 795 of the family's 1533-position model. The record is from RNAcentral.
CCUACGGGGUGCAGCAGUGGGGAAUAUUGGGCAAUGGGCGCAAGCCUGACCCAGCAACGCCGCGUGAAGGAAGAAGGCUUUCGGGUUGUAAACUUCUUUUAUGAGGGACGAAAGAAAUGACGGUACCUCAUGCAUAAGCCACGUCUAACUACGUGCCAGCAGCCGCGGGAAUACGUAGGUGGCAAGCUGUAUCCGGAUUUACUGGGUGUAAAGGGCGUGUAGGCGGGACUGCAAGUCAGAUGUGAAAAUUAUGGGCUCAACCCAUAACCUGCAGUUGAAACUGUAGUUCUUGAGUGAGGGAGAGGCAGGCGGAAUGCCGUGUGUAGCGGUGAAAUGCGUAGAUAUACGGAGGAACACCAGUGGCGAAGGCAGCCUGCUGGACAUUAACUGACGCUGAGGCGCGAAAGCGUGGGGAGCGAACAGGAUUAGAUACCCGGGUAGUC